This is a long non-coding RNA of Parus major (Great Tit), 1220 nucleotides long. RefSeq lists it as uncharacterized. The record is from RefSeq and is a predicted model, not a curated record. Lineage: Eukaryota; Metazoa; Chordata; Aves; Passeriformes; Paridae. The transcript is spliced from 3 exons.
UCCGCGCCCGCGCCGCGGCUCAGGGCGUUCUGGCCGGGCCACAUAGUUCCUAAGGAGUCACUGGGAAGCCCGCAGGCAGGGCUUCGGCUGCGGAGCGCUGUGUGGGCCAGCGCAUCGCUUCACAGGCGUCCCGUGUUGCCUAGCCCGGGCUGGGCAGGCGGCGAGUGUCCCUUCCUGCCAGGCCGGGGAGCAAAGGGCGCCCCGGCGCCGCCUCUGUCACCACACGAGCCGCGCUGAGGGCAAGCGCUCCGGCUGCGAGGGGGCAGGACAGUCUGCCAGAAGUGACACAGCGCCCAUCACCUGAUUAAAAAAAAAAACAAACAACCAAAGUAAUGCUUUUGUAGCAUCUAUCUCAGACAAGGAAUUGUCCUUUCCAAUUAUUUGCUAAGGGGCUGAUAUGUUUCCAAACCAAGUGAGUGCACAGAUGUGAUUCAGUGUUCAGAAGGCUUCAAAGCAUGGCCUAGCUAAUGACCUGCACGCACCAGGUGAGGCUGAUCUGGACCAUGAAGCCCCAUGGGGGCAUGCAGAGCCCUGAAAGCUGCUACUGCACCAACUGGAUCUCUUUCGUCAAGAGCUUGUGUCAAGUAAAAACCACAUGAUUCUUCCCAAAGACUUUAUUGUUACAUUAUCUAAUACCUGUCAAUAUGGUACAUAAACAUGAGCCUUAAAUUAUAAGACUAUUCAGUGAACAGCAUCAUAGAUUAAGAAAUUCCAUUUACAUAAUUCCUCACCAUUCUUCUACUAAGGAGUAACAGCAAAUUGAGAGCAAAAUAUAAUAAAUAGGUUUUCAUAGUCCAGCACUGGCAGUGAAAUUGAGAUAGGAUGUAGGACUUUUAUUUUUUUAUUUUACUAAAACAAUGGAUCUCCUAUAAGAAUAAUUGAAUUUAGAGACCUUCAAAUUCUGAUCAUCAGAUCAUCAGACAGCCUAAAUAUACAUUCUCUUUAAGACUGCUGAAGAAUAAAAAGCCUGGAAGAGUCAACUGUAAUAUAAGUGGCCAUUACUGUCUCAUUUACUGUCGUGAGAUCUGGUAUAGAAUCCUGUGUUUAAAAAUGAAAUGUCUGGGGGAACUGAUUGACAGCUAGCUGAACAUGAACCACCAGUGUGCUCUGGUGGCCAAGAAGGCCAACAGCAUCCUGGCCUGUAUCAGAGUAGUGUGGCCAGCGAGAGCAGGGAGAUCAUUCUCCCCCUGUACUGGGCCCUGGUGAGGCCACACCUGAGU